UAAACGAUGCUAACUCGUUUUUGGGGAUUUAUCUUCAGAGACUAAGCGAAAGUGAUAAGUUAGCCACCUGGGGAGUACGAACGCAAGUUUGAAACUCAAAGGAAUUGACGGGGGCCCGCACAAGCGGUGGAUUAUGUGGUUUAAUUCGAUGAUACGCGAGGAACCUUACCAAGGCUUAAAUGGGAAUUGAUCGGUUUAGAAAUAGACCUUCCUUCGGGCAAUUUUCAAGGUGCUGCAUGGCUGUCGUCAG
Molecule: ribosomal RNA, 250 nt
Filed under: uncultured bacterium
Lineage: Bacteria
Description: partial 16S ribosomal RNA
Rfam family: Bacterial small subunit ribosomal RNA
Source: RNAcentral